Fukomys damarensis (Damara mole-rat) is the source of this 263-nucleotide long non-coding RNA. RefSeq lists it as uncharacterized. The record is from RefSeq and is a predicted model, not a curated record. NCBI's taxonomy places the organism in Eukaryota, Metazoa, Chordata, Mammalia, Rodentia, Bathyergidae. The transcript has 4 exons.
GUUUUGCAACAGGCAUGCUAAAUGUGCCUCUGGCUGAAGGUAUUAACUGGGGCUUAUUUUGCAGAAAACAUGGGCAGUUCUGAGCAACUCACAGAAUCUUAGCAGCUUCUGAAAUCCCACACUCAAUAAAGGAUUGAAAAACAAACACACCUUCUGUAUAUUUCAUUGAGGAGGUAGAUCGAUGCUGAUCUGUCCACAAGACUCAUCAGGAAAGAAAUUGUUCAGCCUCACUCCAUAAGAAGCCCCUAUAGGAGAGUACAGAG